RNAcentral lists this ribosomal RNA (257 nucleotides) under uncultured bacterium. RNAcentral's name for it is "partial small subunit ribosomal RNA". It matches the Rfam family "Bacterial small subunit ribosomal RNA", at positions 26 to 285 of the family's 1533-position model. The record is from RNAcentral.
AGGACGAACGCUGGCGGCGUGCUUAACACAUGCAAGUCGAGCGGAAAGGCCCUUCGGGGUACUCGAGCGGCGAACGGGUGAGUAACACGUGAGUAAUCUGCCCCUAGCUCUGGGAUAGCUCCGGGGAAACCGGGAUUAAUACCAGAUACGACCACUUUAGACAUCUCUUGUGGUGGAAAGAAUUUCGGCUGGGGAUGAACUCGCGGCCUAUCAGCUUGUUGGUGACGGUAACGGCUCACCAAGGCGUACGACGGGUA